This 511-nucleotide ribosomal RNA is filed under the name uncultured bacterium. RNAcentral's name for it is "bacterial SSU rRNA". It matches the Rfam family "Bacterial small subunit ribosomal RNA", at positions 355 to 856 of the family's 1533-position model. The record is from RNAcentral.
UCGAGAAUUUUUCGCAAUGGGCGCAAGCCUGACGGAGCGACGCCGUGUGUGCGAUGAAGGCCUUCGGGUUGUAAAGCACUUCGUUUGGGUAACAAGGGAGGUCGAUGAAUAAUCGGCCGACUUGAGGGUACCAGGAAAAGAAGCACCGGCUAACCACGUGCCAGCAGCUGCGGUAAUACGUGGGGUGCAAGCGUUAAUCGGAUUUACUGGGCGUAAAGGGUGCGUAGGUGGGGAAGAAAGUUAGGGGUGAAAUUCCGAGGCUCAACCUCGGAGCUGCCUUUAAUACUUCAUCUCUAGAGGAUAGGAAGGGAAGGGGGAAGUUCCGCAUGUAGCGGUGAAAUGCGUAGAUAUGCGGAGGAACACCGGUGGCGAAGGCGCCUUUCUGGCCUAUUCCUGACACUGAGGCACGAAAGCGAGGGGAGCAAACAGGAUUAGAUACCCUGGUAGUCCUCACCUUAAACGAUGCAUACUUGAUGUGGCUGGCUUCAACCCCAGCCGUGUCGUAGCUAAC